Molecule: non-coding RNA, 599 nt
Filed under: Pan troglodytes (chimpanzee)
Lineage: Eukaryota; Metazoa; Chordata; Mammalia; Primates; Hominidae
Source: RNAcentral
CUCUGCGACCUAUGGCAAAACCCAAAUGAACCACCAACUGUAAUGGUCUAUUUUCUUGAGCUCAGAGCAACUAUGUGAACUCAGAAAGAAAUUAUAGGCUUUAAAUGAUCCUUAAUACCCUGCAUUUCAGUGUUACCUACAUACACCACCUCAGAGGAUAGCAUUUCUGUAGUAGCCGUGGUAUGACACACUGCCAAGAUUAAUAGGCCUAUCCAGGGGAAGCUCCCAGGACAAUGACAAGAUCCAAGGUCUCACUCUGUCACCCAGGCUGGAGCGGUGCCAUCACAGCUCACUGCAGCCUGGACCUCCCAGACUCAAGUGAUCCUCCUACCACAGCCUCCCAAGUAGCCAGGACUACAGGUGAGUGCUCUGCUAAGCUCUGCAACAAGUUCCAAGCUAGUAGUGGCCAGCUACUCAGCUUUCUCAGGAAACUCACCUUCUCUCCUUGGAGUGAUGGGACUGAGUCCCGCAAACUGUGAAAGCUGUCUUUGAUGUGGUCCCUACGUUUUCGUUCCAGUGCAUUAUGAUGAGCCCGUUUGUCAGCCUAGAAGAAUGGGAGAAAGAACACAUUAGGAAUGUCACUCCUUUUGCUUGGUACA